This 1024-nucleotide long non-coding RNA is filed under the name Brachypodium distachyon (stiff brome). Its description in RNAcentral is "long non-coding RNA (BDIS_LNC004355)". The record is from RNAcentral. Lineage: Eukaryota; Viridiplantae; Streptophyta; Magnoliopsida; Poales; Poaceae.
GUUGUGGAUCUAACCUCAUCCGUAGGUAAGUCUCCUCCUCCACCUCUCCUCUCCUCCAACGCCUUUGUAUCUCUUAUUCGUCUCAGAACCCUAACCCUAAUCAACCACACGCAUGCAGCCGCAAGUCGGGGUCCUCCCCUUUGAUCAACCUGCAACUACGGCGACGCGCAAGGCAACCUCCAAGGCGAAGGCAAGGCGCUGGCCCUGUCCUUCGACGUUCUCUCCAGUAAGUUCUCCUUCUCUUUGUUUGUGAGGUGUCAGUGAGAUUUUUUCUCCUUUUUUUGGCAACAAAUUCUUGCUUUGUUGGUGAGUUGAAUGGUUCCUUUCUGAAGUAUAGAUGUGAAACAUACAGUUAGUGGAUGAGUUUGCCUCACCGAAUUUAGAAAACUGAUGGCACAACAUACUUAUGAUUUAGUUUCUUGUUAUUCUAGUGGAAUUUCUCAUUUAUAGGCUAUAGCAGUAUAGAAGCAUCAGUUCUAAACUCUAGAUCAGCCAACCUAUCUAUACACACAAGCCAACAGGAUAGUGGCUACGUUCUGCUUCCUCCUUAGGCUGUUGUUCUUUAGUUUUUAUGUGGAUUGAGAAAAUAUGAGCCAUGGAAUGACUAAUGGCAGAUAAUGGUUCGUGUUAGUUCUCUUUGUUUAAUUAGAUCCAACAAUCGUAUGUUUUGUGUUAAUUUGAUAUGGUCGUUUUUUAGGCAUCUUUAUAUGUUUUUUUGUUUCUACUUCAUGGCCGUAAUAUCUAAUUAGCUAGUUGCUCAUAGCUUUUUCUCUAUCUGUUAUAGAACUGGGAUUCUUAUGCAUCUACUAGUAAAAUCAACAUGCUGAAUGGCUAUUUUCUUGUGUUGGCAUUCCAAACAUGGUCAUGCAUUGAUCUGUGUGGCAAAGAGCUCAUCUCAGAUUGCGCAUACUUGAUGUUUUGCAGAAUCCUCCGCCCCCAAUCAGAGUAGGUGAGGGGGAACCUCCACCAUCCUGGAGUCCCGUUCCUGACCCUUAUAAUCUACAGAGUGAAAGUCAACAAGGUG